UCACUUACCUGGACGGGGUCAACUCGUGAUCAAGAAGACGAGUGGCCUAGGCUAGUGACCUCCAUUGCACUCUAAGGAUGGGUGCUUAGCCUAAGGACUCCCCAAGUGGGAGAGCCUGCGUCAUUAUUUGUGGGCCUGUGGCAGAGGGGGCAUGCGUUCGCGCGGCCCCUAC
Molecule: small nuclear RNA, 172 nt
Filed under: Brassica rapa (field mustard)
Lineage: Eukaryota; Viridiplantae; Streptophyta; Magnoliopsida; Brassicales; Brassicaceae
Description: snRNA U1
Rfam family: U1 spliceosomal RNA
About the family: U1 is a small nuclear RNA (snRNA) component of the spliceosome (involved in pre-mRNA splicing). Its 5' end forms complementary base pairs with the 5' splice junction, thus defining the 5' donor site of an intron.
Source: Rfam by way of RNAcentral